CACAGGCACUUGUCUCAGAAUUUUUUCCACCUAUAUACCUUAAUAUAAUGUUAUAUUAAGGUAUAUAGGGGAAAAAAUUCUGAGACAAGUGCCUGUGUUUGCAUACAAGGAUCUGACAAAGCUCUUAUUGGAUGCACUAAUUACUAUGUCAAUCAUUGAACCAGAUGCAUCGCAGGGCACAGCUUUAUACGACUGCAAAAAUAAAAAAUCUAAAUACAUGGUUAGAUUUAGCAUAUCAAAGAACCCCAUUCAUUCAAAUUUUGUUACAAAGAUAAAUUUUGGAACCCAAUUUGGACCAACUUGAAAACUUGGCCCAUAAUAAAAAAUCUUCAUACAUGUUAAGAUUCAGCAUAUCAAACCCCAAGAAUUAAAUUUUUGUCAAAAUCAAACAAAAGUAAAUUUUGGAUUCUUUGGACCUUUAAUAAUUAAUGUAGACCAAUUAGAAAACAGGACCAAAAACUUAAAAUCUAACAGAGUUAGAUUCAGCAUAUUAAAGAACCCCAAUAUGUAAUUCGAUUAUUGAUGAAAUCAAACAAAUUUUUAUUUUGGACCCUUUGGACCACAAUUUAAAAAUGUGGACCAAAUUCCAAAAACUUAAUACACGGUUAGAUUCAGCAUAUUUAAGAACCCCAAGAAUUCAAGAAUAAAACCCCAUUGAAAAUGGUCAAGAAAUAAGCAAUUUAUACAAAUUAUUAGAAAAGUAUUCUUUUUGGCCCCUCAUUCCUAAACAGUUUGGGCCAUAACCCUCAAAAUCAAUCCCAAGAUUCAAUUUUUGUUAAAAUCAAAAAAAGUUUUUUUUGGACCCUUUGGACCUCAUGUGGACCAAUUUAAAAAUGUGGACUAAAUUCCAAAAACUAAAUACACGGUAAGAUUCAGCAUAUUUAAAUGAACCCCAAGAAUUCAAGAAUAAACCCCCAUUGAAAAUGGUCAAGAAAUAAGCAAUUUAUACAAACUAUUAGAAAAGUACAAUGUAUUGUUUUUGGCCCCUCAUUCCUAAACAGUUUGGGCCAUAACCACCAAAAUCAAUCCCAACCUUCCUUGUUUUGUAUGGAACCUUGUGGUACAAUUUCAGAAAGAUCCAUACACUUAAACACAAGUAAUUGUCUGGAAACUAGAAAAAUACUUAUUUUUACCCCUUUGGGGCCCCUUGUUCCUAAACUGUUGGAACUAUAACCCCCAAAAUCAAUCUUAACCUUCCUAUUGUGGUUUCAAACCUUGUGUUUAAAUUUCAUAGAGAUCUAUUCACUUUAACCAAAGUUAUUGUCCGGAAACUAAAUGCGUCUUCGGAUGACGACGCAGACGAUGACAACAUGAUAAAUACGUAUAAAAACUCUUUAAAUUUGUUAAGGUAUAUAAUUACUAUAAAGGUCAAACUAUAAGCACAAAUAGUCCUUUCACCUACAUACUGAAUAUAGAUAAAUUAAUGUUUCUUAAGUUUAAGUCUCAAAAAAGUUAACAUUAUUAAAGAUAUUACUUUUAUUAAAUUC
This 1487-nucleotide long non-coding RNA is filed under the name Mytilus galloprovincialis (Mediterranean mussel). Lineage: Eukaryota; Metazoa; Mollusca; Bivalvia; Mytilida; Mytilidae. The record is from RNAcentral.